UACGUAGGGGGCAAGCGUUAUCCGGAUUUACUGGGUGUAAAGGGAGCGCAGACGGCAGUGCAAGUCUGGAGUGAAAGCCCGGGGCCCAACCCCGGGACUGCUCUGGAAACUGUACGGCUGGAGUACGGGAGGGGCAGGCGGAAUUCCUAGUGUAGCAGUGAAAUGCGUAGAUAUUAGGAGGAACACCAGUGGCGAAGGCGGCCUGCUGGACGACAACUGACGGUGAGGCGCGAAAGCGUGGGGAGCAAACAGG
Molecule: ribosomal RNA, 253 nt
Filed under: uncultured bacterium
Lineage: Bacteria
Description: partial 16S ribosomal RNA
Rfam family: Bacterial small subunit ribosomal RNA
Source: RNAcentral